RNAcentral lists this unclassified non-coding RNA (388 nucleotides) under soil metagenome. Its description in RNAcentral is "partial contains 5.8S ribosomal RNA, internal transcribed spacer 2, and large subunit ribosomal RNA". The stretch from base 1 to 120 matches the Rfam family "5.8S ribosomal RNA", at positions 35 to 154 of the family's 154-position model. The record is from RNAcentral.
GAUGAAGAACGUAGCGAAAUGCGAUAAGUAAUGUGAAUUGCAGAAUUCAGUGAAUCAUCGAAUCUUUGAACGCACCUUGCGCUCGUCGGUAUUCCGACGAGCAUGCCUGUUUGAGUCUCAUGUAUCUCUCAAACCUCGAAAGUUUGCGCUUUCGAUGGCUUUGGACUUGGAGGUCUAUGCCGGCGCGAGUCGGCUCCUCUCUAAAUGCAUUAGCUCGGAUCAUACGUGUCGAUCUGCGGUGUGAUAAACGUCUACGUCGCGGCAUUUGACACCUCGCUUUUUUGCGAGCUGGUCUGGCUUCUAAUCGCCUUCGGGCAACACAUCUGACAUCUGAGCUCAAAUCAGGUAGGACUACCCGCUGAACUUAAGCAUAUCAAUAAGCGGAGGA